This 459-nucleotide ribosomal RNA is filed under the name uncultured bacterium. RNAcentral describes it as "partial 16S ribosomal RNA". It matches the Rfam family "Bacterial small subunit ribosomal RNA", at positions 338 to 795 of the family's 1533-position model. The record is from RNAcentral.
CCUACGGGAGGCAGCAGUGAGGAAUAUUGGUCAAUGGCCGAGAGGCUGAACCAGCCAAGUAGCGUGAGGGAAGACGGCCCUAUGGGUUGUAAACCUCUUUUGUCGGGGAGUAAAGCGCACCACGUGUGGUUUAUUGUGUGUACCCUAUGACAAAGCAUCGGCUAAUUCCGUGCCAGCAGCCGCGGUAAUACGGCGGAUGCGAGCGUUAUCCGGAUUUAUUGGGUUUACAGGGUGCGCAGGCGGAGGCUCAAGUCAGCGGUAAAAUUGCGGGGCUCAACCCCGGCCUGCCGUUGAAACUGCAUCACUUGAGUGCGCGAGGAGUAUACGGAAUGCGUGGUGUAGCGGUGAAAUGCAGAGAUAUCACGAAGAACUCCGAUUGCGAAGGCAGCAUACCGGCGCGCAACUGACGCUCAGGCACGAAAGCGUGGGUAUCGAACAGGAUUAGAGACCCGGGUAGUC